RNAcentral lists this long non-coding RNA (187 nucleotides) under Coturnix japonica (Japanese quail). Its description in RNAcentral is "lncRNA (ENSCJPG00005021018.1)". The record is from RNAcentral. Lineage: Eukaryota; Metazoa; Chordata; Aves; Galliformes; Phasianidae.
CCUGGACUUUAUUUGGGAAGCUGAGAAUGGAAGAGAAACAAAAGAGUUUCUAAGGCCCUUUGGAAAUCAAGUAGAAGCCAAACUAAGGCUGUGUUGUUCCUCAAAGUAUAGCAUGGGAUCUCCUAAGGAGGGUCAAAUGCUUCAGCUACAUCAGGACAGGAAAAAGGCAUCUUGUCUGCACGCUGAG